This 245-nucleotide ribosomal RNA is filed under the name uncultured prokaryote. RNAcentral describes it as "partial 16S ribosomal RNA". It matches the Rfam family "Bacterial small subunit ribosomal RNA", at positions 524 to 768 of the family's 1533-position model. The record is from RNAcentral.
UACGGAGGAUGCAAGCGUUAUCCGGAUUUAUUGGGUUUAAAGGGUGCGUAGGCGGAUAUGUAAGUCAGCGGUGAAACUCACAGGCUCAACCUGUGCCGUGCCGCUGAAACUGUGUAUCUGGAAUGCGGAUGCUGUGGGAGGAAUGUGUAGUGUAGCGGUGAAAUGCAUAGAUAUUACACAGAACACCGAUUGCGAAGGCAUCUCACAAAGCCGUUAUUGACGCUGAGGCACGAAAGUGUGGGGAU